This 482-nucleotide ribosomal RNA is filed under the name uncultured bacterium. RNAcentral's name for it is "partial 16S ribosomal RNA". It matches the Rfam family "Bacterial small subunit ribosomal RNA", at positions 28 to 523 of the family's 1533-position model. The record is from RNAcentral.
GACGAACGCUGGCGGCGUGCUUAACACAUGCAAGUCGAACGAUGAAACCUAGCUUGCUAGGUCGAUUAGUGGCGAACGGGUGAGUAACACGUGACUAACCUGCCCCUUUCUCUGGGAUAACGCUCCGAAAGGAGUGCUAAUACCGGAUACUCACAUCGAGGCACAUGCCUUGGUGUGGAAAGUUUUUCGGAAAGGGAUGGAGUCGCGGCCUAUCAGCUUGUUGGUGAUGUAACGGCUCACCAAGGCGACGACGGGUAGCCGGCCUGAGAGGGCGACCGGGCACACUGGGACUGAGACACGGCCCAGACUCCUACGGGAGGCAGCAGUGGGGAAUAUUGCACAAAGGGCGCAAGCCUGAUGCAGCGACGCCGCGUGAGGGAUGAAGGUCUUCGGAUUGUAAACCUCUUUCAGUAGGGACGAAGCGAAAGUGACGGUACCUAAAGAAGAAGCACCGGCUAACUACGUGCCAGCAGCCGCGGUAA